CUCAGUAGAAGCAAAUAUAGGAACACGAGAACCAUUGACUAUCCAAUACGAGUAAUGAAGGAAUAAUACUAAUCUGAUACUAUAUACCUGAUUGCUUAAAUUAAACUUCUCUGAAGCAGUUAGAAGAAUAAAUUAAUUUGAUGAUUCAUGGCCAUAUUCAUGUAAUAAUUGUCUAGAUUUCAUGGUAGAUUAUUUCAGCCACACCUCGUCCUUUUCUUUGAAGCAGUUAGAAGAUUAAAUUAAUUUGAUGAUUGUACUGAGCAUGAGAUUAUGAGUUUAACUGUAUUCUUCAACAGAUGUUGUUGUUGUUGCUGUUGUUGUUGUUGUAGUCUUCAACAGAAUGUCAAUGUAGUUGUUGAAAGUUUAUUUAAUAUACUAGAUACAUCACAUCAUGGUUUAAAUAUAUCUUUUUGAAACUUGUGAAAGAUGCAUAUACAAAAUUUAUCAGAUGUUAAAGUGUCUCAAACAUUUUGGGUAUCCAAAAUGGUAGGCAUAUCCUCUGGUGUGAAAAGCUUUAAGAAACCACAACUGAUGAUUCCAAACUCGUGAUCUUAACCGUUGGGUAUCCACAGAGUGCUUGGCCUUGAGAUAUGAGGCAUUGCUUGUGAGAGAGCAAAAAGAAACCAGUCCUAUGCUGAGCAUUCACUUGAAAAUGGCUUUUGUUCCAUCGCGAAGAAGCAAUGAUUUUUCUUUGAAGUAUGACAUAUCGGACAAGUUGACAAAGAGAUCAACUGCCCUUCCAUGUGAUAUAAGAAUUAAGUUGUGACUGGAACAAGACAAAGCUAUUUCUAGGAUUUGAUUUGCAAGGGACUGUAGAAAGAAAGAAUGCAGUUAUCCAAAAGAAGCAAGGGAAAGGAAAAGCAAGAUGUCAUUUUUAUACCCAAAGAAGUUGUUAUUGAGAUAUUACGAAGGGUACCUGGCCAAGAUUUGGCUGAAAAAUUAAAGAUGGUAUGUAUGCUGUGGUGUUCAAUUAUAUAUAGUGGGAGAUUUGCCUACUCACACAUUGAGCACAAAAUAAAGUCGUCAUCAUUCUCGCAACUUGAAGCAGUUGUAAUUUCUAUGGACGAUGAUGAUCAACAUUCUGUUAGAGUUUCUUCCUUGGAGUGGCACAGUAGUUAUGAUCAAAAUCAUCAUCAAUUCCGAGAUUGGAAGACUAAACACUUAUACACAGCAAACGAUGUACUAUUGGGCCAGAAAUUUUUUCCUUGGAUGCGCAUGAUGAGGGUCAAUUCUGUGAAUGGUUUCGUCUGUUUUUGUCUCAGUUUGAUGAUGCUCGUUUCCAUGUCUUCAAUCCUGUCACUAAAGAGUAUCUCACAACUCCAAAGAAUAUAUAUCUAGGUAUUUAUUCUCAGUUUUAUAAUUUUCUGUGGGGAUCCUGGAAAGGCUCUUUUAUAGUCUUUUUAAGCCUAAGUUCACCAACUGUCAACAUUUAUCCACGAUAGCCUCCUUUCUUUUCAAGAUUACAAAAUCUCACUCUUUAUGGAGGGUUAUCUGUAGAUAUCUUUAGGGUGAUAUACUAGUGUAAAAAUUCUUAACACUGUCAAUGUAUAUAAGUUAAACUCUACAUACAAUUCUCAAAGCCUUUUCGUGAUUCUGCUUUAUUCUACUGGUACUUAUAUAACAGGUAUGCGGGAUAUACCUAUAACUGUGGGCUUUGGAUUUUGCCCACUUUCGUAUGAAUACAAGGUGGUUGUUCUUAAUGAUACAAACUUGAAAGAGACUAAACCUUCGGUUUUCACUAUUGGAACUGAUCAUUCAUGGAGGCCUUUGAAAGAAAUUACUCAUUGUUUUUCAGAUGUUCAGACAGUUGCCUAUGUGAAAGGGGCAUUAUACUGGUACGCACAAAUUUAUACUUAUACCGACAGACAUAAAAUUGAUGAAAUUAAGACAAAAACUCUCAUUUGUUUUGAUGUAACUAAGGAAGAAUUUGAUAUGAUUGUGGUUCCAAUUGAAAGCCCGAAAAAUUGUGUAACAAGCAUAGCAGAAAAGGGUGGAAGGCUUUGUUUGAUAAUCAUAAGUUGUGUUCCUAUUUGCUCCCUCUUGAUCAACGUACAUGUUGCCAACAAUAAUAUUGAUGAUGAUCUGAGUAGCUUAAAUUCAUGGAAGAAAGAGUUCACUGUAACUGCUCCGAGUAUUGCAUAUGCCUUAAAUCUAGAGCUUGUGUACCCCAUAAUUGGUCGUGGUGAUUGGAAUUAAUGAACAUAAGGAAGACUUUGCGUUUUUCGAUGUUGCAAC
Lycium ferocissimum is the source of this 2235-nucleotide long non-coding RNA. RefSeq lists it as uncharacterized. The transcript is spliced from 4 exons. NCBI's taxonomy places the organism in Eukaryota, Viridiplantae, Streptophyta, Magnoliopsida, Solanales, Solanaceae. The record is from RefSeq and is a predicted model, not a curated record.